Long non-coding RNA from Arvicola amphibius (Eurasian water vole), 1366 nucleotides. RefSeq lists it as uncharacterized. The transcript has 3 exons. NCBI's taxonomy places the organism in Eukaryota, Metazoa, Chordata, Mammalia, Rodentia, Cricetidae. The record is from RefSeq and is a predicted model, not a curated record.
GUGGAAUCGGUGGCCAGAGAGAAACGCUUAGAAUAGAAAUGCAUAACCCUGGGCCGCACAAUAAAGCAGCAGGGAGCCUAGGACCCGGAGGGCCUCCUCUCUAAGCGAGAGGGAGGGCAGAGGGGGAAGAGGAGGUGCAAAGGCGAAGGCUCGUCGCAAUUGGGCUGGCGCGUGGCCGCAGGAAUAAACUGUGGCGGCGGCUGGCUGGGUUCUGCGGGCCGAAGGGCGCGCCCCAGCCCCUAGGGGAGAAUUGGGCAGGGCGCCCGCCCGGGGCGGCCUCUGAGCCGCGUCCCCGAGGACUCGGGGGGCUGUAGGGGCCGGACUUGGCAACGACUCAGACUCCGGGAGCGCUGGGCGGUGGAAGGCGGUGCGCGUUGAACAGGAAGUGCGCGGUGUGCGGCGCCACUGUCCCACUCCACGCCGCCCCCAGGUCCGAUCCCCGGAAACACACACCCACACCCCGACCGCGCCGCGAUUGAAACCCUGGGUGUUAAGUGGCUCGGGUGAUCCGCACUUGCUUCGCGGAACACCGCCGCCCUGCGGGGAGGGGGCCCGCAUCUCGAUCCAGAGAGGCCUGUGGCGGGGUUCAGGAGGCUGAGUGAGUUACAGAGAGGAUCUGUCUAGCAUCUCAGUGUCACCAGCUCCUAAAGUAUGUAUUUUGAUGAGCUCAUGGUUCUUUGGGAUGGUGGCUGUAGUAUGCCAACCUGACCAGCCUCUGAUGCCCACCAACUGGUCAGAUGUCAAUGCGGAUUCUGUUGCAAAGGUAUUUUGAAGACGAGGUUAUAUUUCAAAACAGGGCCUGUAAGCAGGUCACUGUCCGUAAUAUGGUGGGCCCUGCCUCAUGAGUUGAAACCCUUAAGAGAAACAGCUAGAACUCUCCAAAAAAGAGAAGGAAUCAUGCCUCCAGACAUCCUCAGAGUUAAACUUAUAACUCCAAUUCUUUCCUAAAUUCCCAGCUGCCCUGUCCUGUAGAUUUCAGACUUUCCCCCACAGUGAGCCAAUUCUUUAAAGUCAAUCUCUCUCAGAACCCCACCUCACCUUUUCUUUCUCUGCCACCUGCAAAGCUACAAGCUCCAUGCCUGGUGGCACCUGGACCAUUCCCAGAAGUCUUGUGGACAUGGAGGACAUCUUGGAGAAGGGCCUGUGUGGCAGGAGCACAGGCAGCGGACUCCCUGAGCGCAGGCACAGCAGGGCUGCUUCACAGGCAGGUGGCCUUGUUACAGGGGAUUAGGUGAGGAACUGUGAAACCCAAGCGCUCAGAUCCCUCCAGGAAAGAAGAGCUUCCUCUGAGCUGAAGAAAGCCCAGCUCACACUCACUAAUGACUGAGUUUGCAACGCCCAUCCCUGCUUUUCACAAGAACAAGAA